Molecule: ribosomal RNA, 253 nt
Filed under: uncultured microorganism
Description: partial 16S ribosomal RNA
Rfam family: Bacterial small subunit ribosomal RNA
Source: RNAcentral
UACGGAGGGUGCGAGCGUUAAUCGGAAUUACUGGGCGUAAAGCGUGCGCAGGCGGUUUGUUAAGCGAGAUGUGAAAGCCCCGGGCUCAACCUGGGAACCGCAUUUCGAACUGGCAAACUAGAGUCUUGUAGAGGGGGGUAGAAUUCCAGGUGUAGCGGUGAAAUGCGUAGAUAUCGGGAGGAACACCAGUGGCGAAGGCGGCCUUCUGGCCUUAACCUGACGCUGAGGAGCGAAAGCGUGGGGAGCAAACAGG